This 525-nucleotide ribosomal RNA is filed under the name Cladosporium sp. HKB6. RNAcentral describes it as "eukaryotic LSU rRNA". The stretch from base 161 to 314 matches the Rfam family "5.8S ribosomal RNA". The record is from RNAcentral. Lineage: Eukaryota; Fungi; Ascomycota; Dothideomycetes; Cladosporiales; Cladosporiaceae.
UCAUUACAGUGACCCCGGUUUACCACCGGGAUGUUCAUAACCCUUUGUUGUCCGACUCUGUUGCCUCCGGGGCGACCCUGCCUUCGGGCGGGGGCUCCGGGUGGACACUUCAAACUCUUGCGUAACUUUGCAGUCUGAGUAAACUUAAUUAAUAAAUUAAAACUUUUAACAACGGAUCUCUUGGUUCUGGCAUCGAUGAAGAACGCAGCGAAAUGCGAUAAGUAAUGUGAAUUGCAGAAUUCAGUGAAUCAUCGAAUCUUUGAACGCACAUUGCGCCCCCUGGUAUUCCGGGGGGCAUGCCUGUUCGAGCGUCAUUUCACCACUCAAGCCUCGCUUGGUAUUGGGCAACGCGGUCCGCCGCGUGCCUCAAAUCGACCGGCUGGGUCUUCUGUCCCCUAAGCGUUGUGGAAACUAUUCGCUAAAGGGUGCUCGGGAGGCUACGCCGUAAAACAACCCCAUUUCUAAGGUUGACCUCGGAUCAGGUAGGGAUACCCGCUGAACUUAAGCAUAUCAAUAAGCGGAGGA